Lolium rigidum is the source of this 215-nucleotide long non-coding RNA. RefSeq lists it as uncharacterized. The transcript has 3 exons. Lineage: Eukaryota; Viridiplantae; Streptophyta; Magnoliopsida; Poales; Poaceae. The record is from RefSeq and is a predicted model, not a curated record.
GCGCAAGAAACCUAACGGGAGCUCCCUCGUCCCCACCAUCAUCAAGGCAUCUCAGAUUCAACUGGGAGAGGGCAAGCUUCACAAAGGGAAAACCCGAAAGCCAAGAUCAGAGAAAAUAAGAAAUAUCAAGGGAGACCUUCCAGUGGGUUCAAAGUCAACCAGUCCAUUACUUCGAUCUCCAGUCCAAUUAACAAGUUCACCAGGAGUUAAUAUGC